Molecule: long non-coding RNA, 924 nt
Organism: Solea solea (common sole)
Lineage: Eukaryota; Metazoa; Chordata; Actinopteri; Pleuronectiformes; Soleidae
Exons: 2
Source: RefSeq, a predicted model, not a curated record
ACAGAUAGCACCUUGUCGGUCGCAUCUUUUGUCCUUCUUGAAGUCGCCUUUAAACCGUUUGGUUGCUUGAGUCGAGCUGCGCUAAGGGAGUCGUUGGGACAUUAAAGGAACAAAUUAGGAGUGGGACUCGAGGCUCCUGGGAGGCCUGUGGUGGCAUUGCAUCACUGAUAAGCAGACAGUCAUUCAGCUCAGGCCUGUGAUAACGUGCCAGAGCCCAGGAUUUCAACAGCAGCCUGAAACCCUGGAGCCACAGAGCAGGACAGGCCCAGUCUCGCUCAGACUCCGACUCCAACUCAAGAAAAGGGGAGAGGCCGUCAUCCAGUUGCAGCUGCAUUCAAACGCCACCCCCCUCAACCUCGGAGGCUUCCUCAUAAAUCACACCGUCUCAGUCGAGACGCACUCUGCACCAGGUGCCACGCUGCCUCCAUUCUGUGCCUUAAUAGUAAAGCUUAAGGCUCUCCUUAAUGUAACUUUCACUCAGUGGUCCUACAAAGAAUGUACACACUGUGGGUUUUAAUUUUUUUUGGGGGGGAAGAGGAAAUCUGACUUUAAAUGUAUACAAAGCUGUGUAUUUGUUGGUCAUGUGAAUUGUACAUGUGUGUCUUUAACCUCAGGCAUCAACUGCAAGAAUAUUCCAUGUGUUCUAUCCUUCAUUCCACCGGAGUCUGUAUCCACUGUCAGCCAGAUUUCAGUGGUGUGAAGUGUAUGAGACAUGGGGAUAUGGCUACACACGCUACACGCCGCUUUACGCACAUAAUAAGUCAACCUUGUAUAUUCCUCUCACACAGCAUCCUAUUGUAUAUCCGUGCUUAUGUGCGUUUUUUUCUUGUGAUCUAUAGAAAAAAAAAACGAUUUGUAUCUGUAAGGACAUGCUGUGAUGUGAAUAAAUAUUGUGACCUUGUGAAUAAAUAUUGUGACCUUGUG